GAUUGCAGUCAUAACCACCCUGGAUGCACUGAUCCUGUUUGAUUUAGCAAGCUAAGCAGAAUCAGGCGUGGUUAGUGCUUGGAUGGGGGACUACCAGGAAACACCAAAGGUCUCCAGACA
Molecule: ribosomal RNA, 120 nt
Filed under: Pogona vitticeps (central bearded dragon)
Lineage: Eukaryota; Metazoa; Chordata; Lepidosauria; Squamata; Agamidae
Source: RNAcentral